RNAcentral lists this ribosomal RNA (505 nucleotides) under uncultured bacterium. RNAcentral's name for it is "partial 16S ribosomal RNA". It matches the Rfam family "Bacterial small subunit ribosomal RNA", at positions 28 to 507 of the family's 1533-position model. The record is from RNAcentral.
GACGAACGCUGGCGGCGUGCCUAAUACAUGCAAGUAGAACGCACAGUUUAUACCGUAGCUUGCUACACCAUAGACUGUGAGUUGCGAACGGGUGAGUAACGCGUAGGUAACCUGCCUGGUAGCGGGGGAUAACUAUUGGAAACGAUAGCUAAUACCGCAUAAUAUUAAUUAUUGCAUGAUAAUUAAUUGAAAGGUGCAAUUGCACCACUACCAGAUGGACCUGCGUUGUAUUAGCUAGUAGGUGAGGUAACGGCUCACCUAGGCGACGAUACAUAGCCGACCUGGGAGGGUGAUCGGCCACACUGGGACUGAGACACGGCCCAGACGCCUACGGGAGGCAGCAGGAGGGGAGCUUCGGCAAUGGACGAAAGUCUGACCGAGCAACGCCGCGUGAGUGAAGAAGGUUUUCGGAUCGUAAAGCUCGGUUGUAAGAGAAGAACGGGUGUGAGAGUGGAAAGUUCACACUGUGACGGUAUCUUACCAGAAAGGGACGGCUAACUACGUG